AGCUUUGUAUUCAAUUAUGAUUUUAGACUGCAAUUCUAAAGGUGUGGAUAAAAAAUUUCUACUAAAGCUU
RNAcentral lists this transfer RNA (70 nucleotides) under Somatochlora hineana. RNAcentral's name for it is "tRNA-Cys". Lineage: Eukaryota; Metazoa; Arthropoda; Insecta; Odonata; Corduliidae. The record is from RNAcentral.